Molecule: ribosomal RNA, 579 nt
Filed under: uncultured bacterium
Lineage: Bacteria
Description: partial 16S ribosomal RNA
Rfam family: Bacterial small subunit ribosomal RNA
Source: RNAcentral
UGGGGAAUUUUGGACAAUGGGCGAAAGCCUGAUCCAGCAAUGCCGCGUGUGUGAAGAAGGCCUUCGGGUUGUAAAGCACUUUUGUCCGGAAAGAAAUCCUUGGCUCUAAUACAGUCGGGGGAUGACGGUACCGGAAGAAUAAGCACCGGCUAACUACGUGCCAGCAGCCGCGGUAAUACGUAGGGUGCAAGCGUUAAUCGGAAUUACUGGGCGUAAAGCGUGCGCAGGCGGUUUGCUAAGACCGAUGUGAAAUCCCCGGGCUCAACCUGGGAACUGCAUUGGUGACUGGCAGGCUAGAGUAUGGCAGAGGGGGGUAGAAUUCCACGCGUAGCAGUGAAAUGCGUAGAGAUGUGGAGGAAUACCGAUGGCGGAGGCAGCCCCCUGGGCCAAUACUGACGCUCACGCACGAAAGCGUGGGGAGCAAACAGGAUUAGAUACCCUGGUAGUCCACGCCCUAAACGAUGUCAACUAGUUGUUGGGGAUUCAUUUCCUUAGUAACGUAGCUAACGCGUGAAGUUGACCGCCUGGGGAGUACGGUCGCAAGAUUAAAACUCAAAUGAAUUGACGGGGUCAUAGCUG